CUUUAAUCUCUGCUCUCACCACCUCCUCGGAGGGCUUCAGCGAGCACUUUCUGCAUCACAUGUCAUGCAUCACCCCCCUGCUGUCUCUCUCUCUCACUUUUUUUCUUCUUCUUCUUUUUCUACGCACUCGUUCUAACACACCCUAAAUGACACAAGUCAGCCUCUUUGCCAUUCUUCGCUCUCCAGCAACACAAACAGUAUCUCUCACUCACAACUUUGGAAACCAGCAAACGCUCUGAGCGGUCUGCAAAGCUUCCUGUCAUCCUAGUGAACACAAUUUAGAGUUUAACAAGGGCAGACUUCCUGUAACAUCUCCAGUAUCCUGAGUAUAAAAUUCACCAAUGGAUCUCCUGAUGACAAGUUCACAGCUGCUUUGAAAGCACCAGGAGUUUGUGACUGUAAAGUUCAGCCUGUAACUGAGACUCCAAACCAUCCAGGAAUUUUUUUUCUUUAAUUCAACUGUAACUUCUUCCUAAGGAGGUAAUGCACAUUUUUAAUUACAUUUAAUUGUAGCAAAGUCAGAUUUGUGUCAUUGCAACGAGUUAAAAGUGGACUGACAAUGAGUUCAGAAGCCCUACACAAAGUCUGUGGCAGACUCUCAGUUUCCAUUGUUUAAAAGUGCAAAGAGAGAAACAGCUUUCUGCUUUUGUGUUCCCUCAAGUGCACACACUGCAUUGUUUUAAGUGAUAAGGCACACCCUUGCUAAAAUAAACAGUGAAAGCUGCUCUUAAAGCUAAAAAUGUACCUAUUUUUAGAAGUGCUUGUUUUGUGUGUGUGUGUGAUAAACAGUGUUAAUGACUUUCUUGCCAAGAGUUUGAUAAAAAAAAAAAAAAUCAUAUUACUGUCAUAUGUAGAAAUAUGAAGAUGAUGCAGACAGUUAGCUUUGCUAAGCAGUGUUAGAAAAAAACACACAGCUUUUGUGUUUGAAAAAAGGCCUAAAGCAGCUGUAAAUCUUGCUUGCUUGCUAUUUCUUUUUUUAAUUUGCACCACAACGCAACUGUCAGAUUUAGUUUGUUGUGUCAGAAUGAUUCUUAGCUGGUGUUCUUGGGACCAAAGCAAACUGUAAUGCAGCAAACGACUGAAACAAACUUUCAAAAGUGGAUAUAAGUGCCAAAAAUUGCGUGUUUGUCACUCUAGAAUUUUGAAAAUUUCUAAUUUAUGCAAUUUGAUCAUCAUUUUCGGCCAUUUCACUGCAGAAUUUCAACUGGUGGAUAAAGUUCACAGGUUUGUCUCUUUUUGACUAUAAGAGAGUCAAAUUUAUGAGUUAAAAAAUGUCUUCGGAGCGCCUUUGUAAAAUGAAAUAAUUGCAAUGACACAUGUUCAUCCAACUUUAAACCACCAGCUAACCUGACAAGCAGUUUUGCCCAGACCCAGAACUUGCUUACUGUGAGGUGAUUAAUGCGCAGCUAUCCGUUACAAUGGGUCUCUCAUUUAACAAAUCAAGCUAGACUAUGAAAGGGACAAGGUUAGUUAGUACUUGACCACGGUUUGCUCCUGCUAGACCGAGCAGUCUUUCCACUGAAAGCUCCACCCACAGACACAUUUUAAUGCUCACAUACAAAUCCAGAUAAAUAUAUAUCACACCUCACACCCUGUUGGCAAGUUAUUGGUUGAAUGCAUAUGAUUUCACAUUAAGAUCAUUCAAAGAGACAAGGCUUGCUUGAAAGAGAGUUAUCUUCAAAUGCCUAAUGGGUUUUAUGAAGAAAAAAAAUCAUAUAGGAAUUUAUACAUCAGCUUUGCCCCUUGUGUCCACCUGUGACUGAUUUCCUUGUACUGCACCCUUCGUAUUUCGCUACUCUAUCAGAUUUCAGGCUUCAAUUAAAUGAAACGAGAAUAAUGUAAAAUGUCAUUUUUCUAAUCUAACUCGGCAAGAAUGUAAACAUGUGUUUUCUUAAAUCCUACAUCACCAAAACAUUUAUGAAAAUGAACUGAUUCCCCAUGUGUGUUCAUACUAAUUCUGAACCUCUUCUCUGUCCUUCCUUCAGGGAUGGGGGAUUCUGAACAAAACAGCACUCCAUUGGUGCUGGGCCUUUUGUUCAUCCUAUUAUUCCUCCUUGUUGUGCUCUUUGUACUGUACAAGAAGCUGAACAGGGAGGCUGAAGGGGAAUAUACAGUCCGACGCAUCGUCUACAAGGAAGGAGGUCUCAGGGACCAGGCGAGAAGUGCAGCGUUAGCUGUGGGGGCACGUCUUGGGGUCCAGCUGUGGCCUGGAAGUGAUGAAGAAGAGGAAGGGGAGGAAAUGCAGGAAGUCCAAGAUGAAGAAGAACAGGUGGAUAGUGGUGGUAGUCAGGAGAGUGACACAGAGGGAGAUGAAGAGGAGGAGGACAACGACACUGGUAAUGCUAAGGAGAAAGAAAGUAAUACUUCAAAUGAUGACUCAAGUAUUGGGAGUUCAGAGGCAGGAGAGCAAACCAAACUUAACGAUGAGUCUGAGCCAGAGGGAGAGACGGAAGAUAAAAGUGAAGAAAAGGAGGAGAAAGUGGGAGAAGAGCAGAGUAAAGCUGAGGCAAGUGGAGGGCCGGGAUUGCUGAUAGAUCUAAAGCAGUUCUCUGGAAGUGCGAUCUGGUCUGAAGAAGGUGGUGAGGGUAAAGGUGACGUGACGGCGUUGUGAGAAUCAGAAAUAAUGAAUAAGACUGAGGAAACUGCCAAAUCAGGAUUUCACAAACAUCAGCUUCAUCCCCUAAAUGUCUCCCCACUGCAAAUUCCUUCUAUUAGUCUAAAAAAAUAAAAUAAAAUAAAAGAUACAUGCACCCACCCAUUAAACCCAAAGAGCUUUAAUCUUUCAUGACCUCACUGACCUUGCUUUCCUCUGGUCAAAUUUUUUUGAUGAAUAAAGCAGUUAUAUAAACAUACAGGGGUACUCUAGAUUGUAACUGUAAAGUGUAAAAAAAAAAACCAAUACUUGUCUAUACUUUUUUGCUUUAAAUGUUUAUUUUAAUCUACAUAAGAAAUUGAAAACUGGAAACUUUUUUUAGUGUUUUCUGCUCUGUUUUUUGUUGUUCUUUAUGCCGUUUGUAGAAAUAAAAAAAGAGUAGUAAUUAAAUAUAGUGAGAACAAAAUAAUGCGUUAUUUGUUUUAUUGAAAACAAGUGAAUGUAACCGAUCAAACUUUAAGUCAACAUACAUUUUAUAUGGUGUGUAAAUGGUUGAAAAUUUAAUAAACCACAUACUGAAA
Molecule: long non-coding RNA, 3174 nt
Organism: Astatotilapia calliptera (eastern happy)
Lineage: Eukaryota; Metazoa; Chordata; Actinopteri; Cichliformes; Cichlidae
Source: Ensembl